GACGAACGCUGGCGGCGUGCCUAAUACAUGCAAGUCGAACGCUGAAGUCGGAGCUUGCUUCUCUGGAUGAGUUGCGAACGGGUGAGUAACGCGUAGGUAACCUGCCUGGUAGCGGGGGAUAACUAUUGGAAACGUUAGCUAAUACCGCAUAAUAGUAGAUGUUUCAUGACCUUUGCGUAAAAGGUUCAAUUGCAUCACUACCAGAUGGACCUGCGUUGUAUUAGCUAGAUGGUGGGGUAACGGCUCACCAAGGCGAGGAUACAUAGCCGACCUGAGAGGGUGAGAGGAGAAGCUGGGACUGGGACACGGCCCAGAACACUACGGGAGGCAGCAGUAGGGAAUCCCCGGGGAUGGACGGAAGGCUGAACGAGGAACGACGCGUGAGAGAAGGAGGUUUUCGGGUCGUGUAGAUGUGUAGUAAGAGAGGAAUGUGAGUGAGUGUGGCAAGUGCACACUGUGACGGUACCUGAAGAGAAAGGGACGGCUAACUACGUG
Molecule: ribosomal RNA, 495 nt
Filed under: uncultured bacterium
Lineage: Bacteria
Description: partial 16S ribosomal RNA
Rfam family: Bacterial small subunit ribosomal RNA
Source: RNAcentral